Molecule: long non-coding RNA, 1356 nt
Filed under: Cricetulus griseus (Chinese hamster)
Lineage: Eukaryota; Metazoa; Chordata; Mammalia; Rodentia; Cricetidae
Description: lncRNA (ENSCGRG00015041902.1)
Source: RNAcentral
AAUAAAAUAAUAAUAAUAAUAAUAAUAAUAAUAAUACAGAAGUUUGGAACAGUAGAAGUAAAAUCUGAACGGAGGUCAUCUCAAAGUCAUUCACUUUUCAAGGACAGAGUCGGGGAUCUGUUCCAACUAGCUUCCGAUGGAACAAUUUAAUCACCUAGACCAGUUAGCCCUUAAAAACAAAGUAAGCCACGCAGACAGUUAAUGCUGGGCUUGGUCGGGCUUCAAAAGCUGGCUGCUCCGGGAAGCGACCCGUCUGAGGCACAUGGAGGGCUCGGCACCUGCAUGAACAGACCCGGCAGCCCUCGGCGGCGCGGCAGGGCAAGCACUGUUUCGGAGAGUGGUGACUCAGCGCUGAGUCAGACAAGCACUACGUGCGGCUGCCAGCACCGGCUCCGCGGCUGCCGGGAUUGGUGACGUCCAGGAUCCACAGCCCGGGAAGGGGCCCACGUGACCCCCGUUUCCAGGGCUUAGACUGACGCUUUCAUCCGCUGUGUUUCCUCAGAUCUGAGAUUCCACUUGCUCUGGCGGGGUUGUUUGUUUGUUUGUUUGUUUUGGUUUGGUGGGUUUUGUUUUGUUUUAGUAUGAGCUUAGAUUUUUAAUAACCGGACACCCAUUUUCCUGGCAGGGGAGUGACAUGGUGAUAUUUUUUUAAUAGUUGCCAAUCUUUUAAAUGAGGCAUCAGAAGAAUGAGAUAGUAAAACAAAAGCAUGUGUUGCAAAUGAUGCGUCAAAUCAUCCCAUGACUUUGAGGCUGAAUUAAUGUGGCCGCGGUGGAAGCCCUGAACAUUGGGUAACCAUGGAAAGUCUUUAGGAUCUGAUUUGCUGUGUUAAAGGAAGCAAAUCUUUGUUCUUUGUUCAACCACUCUCUAAUAAAGGAUUCCAAAAGCUGGAGACAUAUUUGUUACAGAGAGCCCUGGCAGUGCACUUGGGUAUUUGGCCUUCUAGCAUCCUGUUAGGAUUGUGCCAAGCGUGGUGGUGAUGGUUUUGGCGAUGCUGUGUCGAAAGCCAACAGUGGGUUUUGCAAGGUUCAGUGCAUCUGGUCAAUAAGAAAAGCCAGUGACAGGGCAAGUAAUAACUACUUAGGGACACCUUUGAGCUGAUUUUUAAGACAAUCACACUAGGUCUUUAGAACCCGUGCCAACUGUUGCCAAUUGUUCUGCAGAUUCGGGAAAAAUCUAUCUAUCCUUGUGGAUCUCCGUGUGCGUGUGAGACCAUGCACAACUGUGGAGGCGCCUUCUGUUCAGAAUGUUUUCUUGCAAGGAAGAACUUCGAGGUUUCAUUGGCUCUCCAAGCUUAUGUAUAGAGAGCUUGGGACAGAUGAGCAGAGCAGUCCUAGAAGAGAGAACAUCACCUUUGC